UACAGAGGUCUCAAGCGUUGUUCGGAUUCAUUGGGCGUAAAGGGUGCGUAGGCGGCGCGGUAAGUCGGGUGUGAAAUCUCGGAGCUUAACUCCGAAACUGCAUUCGAUACUGCCGUGCUUGAGGACUGGAGUGGAGACUGGAAUUUACGGUGUAGCGGUGAAAUGCGUAGAUAUCGUAAGGAAGACCAGUGGCGAAGGCGGGUCUCUGGACAGUUCCUGACGCUGAGGCACGAAGGUCAGGGGAGCAAACGGG
RNAcentral lists this ribosomal RNA (253 nucleotides) under uncultured bacterium. Its description in RNAcentral is "partial 16S ribosomal RNA". It matches the Rfam family "Bacterial small subunit ribosomal RNA", at positions 524 to 776 of the family's 1533-position model. The record is from RNAcentral.